GAUGAAGAACGUAGCGAAAUGCGAUAAGUAAUGUGAAUUGCAGAAUUCAGUGAAUCAUCGAAUCUUUGAACGCACAUUGCGCCCGCCAGUAUUCUGGCGGGCAUGCCUGUUCGAGCGUCAUUUCAACCAUCAAGCGCCCGGCUUGUGUUGGGGACCUGCGGCUGCCGCAGGCCCUGAAAAGCAGUGGCGGGCUCGCUGUCACACCGAGCGUAGUAGCAUACAUCUCGCUCUGGGCGUGCUGCGGGUUCCGGCCGUUAAACCACCUUCAUAACCCAAGGUUGACCUCGGAUCAGGUAGGAAGACCCGCUGAACUUAAGCAUAUCAAUAAGCGGAGGA
RNAcentral lists this unclassified non-coding RNA (336 nucleotides) under soil metagenome. RNAcentral describes it as "partial contains 5.8S ribosomal RNA, internal transcribed spacer 2, and large subunit ribosomal RNA". The stretch from base 1 to 120 matches the Rfam family "5.8S ribosomal RNA", at positions 35 to 154 of the family's 154-position model. The record is from RNAcentral.